GAGUUUGAUCAUGGCUCAGAACGAACGCUGGCGGCGUGGCUAAGACAUGCAAGUCGAACGGGAUGGUGCAUGUAGCAAUACAUGUGCCAUCUAGUGGCGAACGGGUGCGUAACACGUGAGCAAUCUGCCUCUAAGGUGGGGAAUAGCUCGGACGAAAGCCGGAUUAAUACCGCAUGUGGUCCUCCUUCGCAUGGGAGGGGAAACUAAAGGUCGGGGAUCGCAAGACCUGACGCUUGGAGAGGAGCUC
RNAcentral lists this ribosomal RNA (247 nucleotides) under uncultured Opitutia bacterium. Its description in RNAcentral is "uncultured Opitutae bacterium partial 16S ribosomal RNA". It matches the Rfam family "Bacterial small subunit ribosomal RNA", at positions 9 to 232 of the family's 1533-position model. Lineage: Bacteria; Pseudomonadati; Verrucomicrobiota; Opitutia. The record is from RNAcentral.